AUUGAACGCUGGCGGCAUGCCUUACACAUGCAAGUCGAACGGUAACAGGUCUUCGGAUGCUGACGAGUGGCGAACGGGUGAGUAAUACAUCGGAACGUGCCUAGUAGUGGGGGAUAACUACUCGAAAGAGUGGCUAAUACCGCAUGAGAUCUACGGAUGAAAGCAGGGGAUGGCAAGACCUUGUGCUACUAGAGCGGCCGAUGGCAGAUUAGGUAGUUGGUGGGAUAAAAGCUUACCAAGCCGACGAUCUGUAGCUGGUCUGAGAGGACGAUCAGCCACACUGGGACUGAGACACGGCCCAGACUCCUACGGGAGGCAGCAGUGGGGAAUUUUGGACAAUGGGCGGAAGCCUGAUCCAGCAAUGCCGCGUGCAGGAUGAAGGCCUUCGGGUUGUAAACUGCUUUUGUACGGAACGAAAAGCCCCGGGUUAAUACCCUGGGGUCAUGACGGUACCGUAAGAAUAAGCACCGGCUAACUACGUGCCAGCCGCCGCAGUAA
This 498-nucleotide ribosomal RNA is filed under the name uncultured bacterium. Its description in RNAcentral is "partial 16S ribosomal RNA". It matches the Rfam family "Bacterial small subunit ribosomal RNA", at positions 30 to 523 of the family's 1533-position model. The record is from RNAcentral.